RNAcentral lists this ribosomal RNA (193 nucleotides) under uncultured Weissella sp. RNAcentral's name for it is "partial 16S ribosomal RNA". It matches the Rfam family "Bacterial small subunit ribosomal RNA", at positions 338 to 524 of the family's 1533-position model. Lineage: Bacteria; Bacillati; Bacillota; Bacilli; Lactobacillales; Lactobacillaceae. The record is from RNAcentral.
CCUACGGGAGGCAGCAGUAGGGAAUCUUCCACAAUGGGCGCAAGCCUGAUGGAGCAACGCCGCGUGUGUGAUGAAGGGUUUCGGCUCGUAAAACACUGUUAUAAGAGAAGAACGGCACUGAGAGUAACUGUUCAGUGUGUGACGGUAUCUUACCAGAAAGGAACGGCUAGUUCGUGCCAGCAGCCGCGGUAAU